This 253-nucleotide ribosomal RNA is filed under the name uncultured bacterium. Its description in RNAcentral is "partial 16S ribosomal RNA". It matches the Rfam family "Bacterial small subunit ribosomal RNA", at positions 524 to 776 of the family's 1533-position model. The record is from RNAcentral.
UACGUAGGGUGCGAGCGUUGUCCGGAAUUACUGGGCGUAAAGGGCUCGUAGGUGGUUUGCCGCGUUGUUCGUGAAAACUCACAGCUUAACUGUGGGCGUGCGGGCGAUACGGGCAGACUGGAGUACUGCAGGGGAGACUGGAAUUCCUGGUGUAGCGGUGGAAUGCGCAGAUAUCAGGAAGAAUAUCCGUGGCGAAGGCGGCUCUCUGGUACGGCACUGACGCUGAGACGCGAAAGCGUGGGGAGCGAACAGG